CGUUCUUAGUUGGUGGAGCGA
RNAcentral lists this non-coding RNA (21 nucleotides) under Arabidopsis thaliana (thale cress). RNAcentral also lists the same sequence under 2 other names. Lineage: Eukaryota; Viridiplantae; Streptophyta; Magnoliopsida; Brassicales; Brassicaceae. The record is from RNAcentral.